Molecule: unclassified non-coding RNA, 659 nt
Filed under: Hevea brasiliensis (rubber tree)
Lineage: Eukaryota; Viridiplantae; Streptophyta; Magnoliopsida; Malpighiales; Euphorbiaceae
Source: RNAcentral
AGGUAAUUAAUUGGAUUUUGUAUUCGUGUUUGAGCUUCGCAUUAAUUUGUGAAGCUAACAUGGUAGUUAAGUUGGUAAAGUUGCUGUGUCACUAUAUCUAAUUAACUUUGAAUUUCAUUAUGCUGCUAAUGGUUAGAACGUUUACUUAGUUUGUUUUGUUUAAUGGGUCAUAUGAGGAAUUCUAUUGUCUGAGGAAUGGAUUAGUGGGAAAUUGAAAUUCCAGCUUCAACUAGUUCUUUUAUUAGAUUUAAUUUGCCACUGCCUUAUGAUUUCGUAGAACUUAUUGAACCGGGUCUUCUAUGGAAUUUAGUGUUUCACUGCAUUGAUGUGUAUUGCAUAUUAAGCUUCAAAUUUGAUAUCUCAUUUCGUCCCAUUAUUCAAAGCUUAUUGAAUGGCAUGGAGCUUAUUCACUUCUGCUAUGCUGUUUACGAAGUCAUGGAAGGCAUAAGAAAAUAUUCCAUUUUAAAUCAAUGCUUGUGCUUAUACGUUUACCCAACUUGUUAUGGUUCCGCGUGGUAUAAAAAUAGUGUUGAUUCAAGACGCCUCUUUUUAGUGAUAGUUUCAUUACCAAGACAUAAAUAUGGUUGAAUUUGUAUUUUUUGUCAUGAGUAUUUGUUGUGUCAGGAGAAAGUUUUUAUGUUGAUGAUAUUGAUAAGUAG